GAUGAACGCUGGCGGCGUGCCUAAUACAUGCAAGUCGAGCGAACGGACGAGAAGCUUGCUUCUCUGAUGUUAGCGGCGGACGGGUGAGUAACACGUGGAUAACCUACCUAUAAGACUGGGAUAACUUCGGGAAACCGGAGCUAAUACCGGAUAAUAUUUUGAACCGCAUGGUUCAAAAGUGAAAGACGGUCUUGCUGUCACUUAUAGAUGGAUCCGCGCUGCAUUAGCUAGUUGGUAAGGUAACGGCUUACCAAGGCAACGAUGCAUAGCCGACCUGAGAGGGUGAUCGGCCACACUGGAACUGAGACACGGUCCAGACUCCUACGGGAGGCAGCAGUAGGGAAUCUUGCGCAAUGGGCGAAAGCCUGACGGAGCAACGCCGCGUGAGUGAUGAAGGUCUUCGGAUCGUAAAACUCUGUUAUUAGGGAAGAACAUAUGUGUAAGUAACUGUGCACAUCGUGACGGUACCUAAUCAGAAAGCCACGGCUAACUACGUG
This 497-nucleotide ribosomal RNA is filed under the name uncultured bacterium. RNAcentral describes it as "partial 16S ribosomal RNA". It matches the Rfam family "Bacterial small subunit ribosomal RNA", at positions 28 to 507 of the family's 1533-position model. The record is from RNAcentral.